CCGAGUUUUCAACUCCCAAACCCCUGUGAACUUAUACCUUUACCGUUGCUUCGGCGGGUUUUCGCCCCGGAACGCGGGCCCCCUUCGUAAAAAAGGGGGGGCCGGCCCCGGAACCAGGCGCCCGCCGGGGGACCCCAAAAACUCUUGUAUUUUUUACCUUUAGCAUGUCUGAGUGGAAUCAUACAAAAUGAAUCA
RNAcentral lists this unclassified non-coding RNA (195 nucleotides) under uncultured Clavicipitaceae. Its description in RNAcentral is "sequence contains ITS1". Lineage: Eukaryota; Fungi; Ascomycota; Sordariomycetes; Hypocreales; Clavicipitaceae. The record is from RNAcentral.